RNAcentral lists this ribosomal RNA (253 nucleotides) under uncultured bacterium. RNAcentral's name for it is "partial 16S ribosomal RNA". It matches the Rfam family "Bacterial small subunit ribosomal RNA", at positions 524 to 776 of the family's 1533-position model. The record is from RNAcentral.
UACAGAGGGGGCAAGCGUUGUCCGGAAUCAUUGGGCGUAAAGAGCGUGUAGGCGGCCUGGUAAGUCCGCUGUGAAAGUCCAGGGCUCAACCCUGGAAUGCCGGUGGAAACUGUCAGGCUCGAGUCCGGAAGAGGCGAGUGGAAUUCCUGGUGUAGCGGUGAAAUGCGCAGAUAUCAGGAGGAACACCAAUGGCGAAGGCAGCUCGCUGGGACGGUACUGACGCUGAGACGCGAAAGCGUGGGGAGCAAACAGG